This 673-nucleotide long non-coding RNA is filed under the name Mus caroli (Ryukyu mouse). RNAcentral describes it as "predicted gene 9917 (MGP_CAROLIEiJ_G0004247.1)". The record is from RNAcentral. Lineage: Eukaryota; Metazoa; Chordata; Mammalia; Rodentia; Muridae.
GGCCAACUGCCCUGAGUUGAUGAACUUCUGCUUCCUAAUUGGGUUUGUUUUGUUUUGUUUUUGCUUUUUAAAAACUUCUUGAGUUUAUUAUGGCCAAAGGCUAGGUGAGCAGAGAACCUGCUCAUGGCCGACCUUGAGAAAUGUAGGCAGAACGUCCACUGGCAGCAGAGAGCUGAGGAAGUGUUGGGCCGAGCCUUACAAUAGAAGCUGCAGCAGAGGCCUGCGCUCUCCCUUCUGAUGGCUGCCUGGGAAGUCAGCUCUUCCCCCAGAAAGCCCCAUCUGUAUCUCUGCUGACAUACUGAUGUAGGCUUUAUGAUCACUGCUCGGACCCUCACCUGAGGAAUCAGAUUCUUAUGUACCCGCCUCAGCUUGGCUCGCUUCUGCCCAUUCUUGGUGACGAUUGUCUCCUCAUAGAAUUCAUGAGCCAGAUCUCCAUCUUCAUCAUAGAACAUGGAGCUGUGGAGAGAAGGGGAACAGGCUGGAUUAGAGCCUCAUCCCUGGCCUUGGCAAGGGCCACAGACCACAGUGAAGUAUGCUGAACCCCAAGAGAAGACACACAAUGGUAACCUCCGUGGAAGAACUCUUUGCUUGGUGCCCAAGGGAAGCAGGCAGUGUGACAAGGCCACUGUUGCCCUGUCACACCAACAGGAUGUCCUAUCAGAGCACCCUCUCU